AGGGAAAUAGCUCAGUGGUAGAGCCUAUGCUUAGCAUGCACGAGAUCCUGGGUUCAAUCCCCAGUCCCUCCA
This 72-nucleotide transfer RNA is filed under the name Camelus bactrianus (Bactrian camel). It matches the Rfam family "tRNA". From Rfam's summary of the family: Transfer RNA (tRNA) molecules are approximately 80 nucleotides in length. Their secondary structure includes four short double-helical elements and three loops (D, anti-codon, and T loops). The record is from Rfam by way of RNAcentral. RNAcentral also lists the same sequence under 2 other names. Lineage: Eukaryota; Metazoa; Chordata; Mammalia; Artiodactyla; Camelidae.